UACGGAGGGUGCAAGCGUUAUCCGGAAUCAUUGGGUUUAAAGGGUGCGUAGGUGGGUAGGUAAGUCAGUGGUGAAAUCUCCAAGCUUAACUUGGAAACUGCCAUUGAUACUAUUUAUCUUGAAUUUUCUGGAGGUGAGCGGAAUAUGUCAUGUAGCGGUGAAAUGCUUAGAUAUGACAUAGAACACCAAUUGCGAAGGCAGCUCACUACGGGAAUAUUGACACUGAGGCACGAAAGCGUGGGGAUCAAACAGG
Molecule: ribosomal RNA, 253 nt
Filed under: uncultured bacterium
Lineage: Bacteria
Description: partial 16S ribosomal RNA
Rfam family: Bacterial small subunit ribosomal RNA
Source: RNAcentral